UACGGAGGGGGCUAGCGUUGUCCGGAAUCAUUGGGCGUAAAGAGCGUGUAGGCGGCUCGGUAAGUCCGCUGUGAAAGUCCAGGGCUCAACCCUGGAAUGCCGGUGGAAACUGUCGAGCUAGAGUCCGGAAGAGGCGAGUGGAAUUCCUGGUGUAGUGGUGAAAUGCGUAGAGAUCGGGAGGAACACCUGUGGCGAAGGCGGCCCCCUGGGCCGGCCCUGACACUGAGACGCGAAGGCGUGGGGAGCGAACGGG
RNAcentral lists this ribosomal RNA (253 nucleotides) under uncultured bacterium. Its description in RNAcentral is "partial 16S ribosomal RNA". It matches the Rfam family "Bacterial small subunit ribosomal RNA", at positions 524 to 776 of the family's 1533-position model. The record is from RNAcentral.